Molecule: ribosomal RNA, 301 nt
Filed under: uncultured bacterium
Lineage: Bacteria
Description: partial 16S ribosomal RNA
Rfam family: Bacterial small subunit ribosomal RNA
Source: RNAcentral
CAGUCGCCACGGUAAUACGUAGGUGGCAAGCGUUGUCCGGAAUUAUUGGGCGUAAAGCGCGCGCAGGCGGAUAGGUCAGUCUGUCUUAAAAGUUCGGGGCUUAACCCCGUGAUGGGAUGGAAACUGCCAAUCUAGAGUAUCGGAGAGGAAAGUGGAAUUCCUAGUGUAGCGGUGUAAUGCGUAGAUAUUAGGAAGAACACCAGUGGCGAAGGCGACUUUCUGGACGAAAACUGACGCUGAGGCGCGAAAGCCAGGGGAGCGAACGGGAUUAGAUACCCCAGUAGUCCCUGUCUCUUAUACA